CCCAGACUCCUACGGGAGGCAGCAGUGAGGAAUAUUGGUCAAUGGGCGAGAGCCUGAACCAGCCAAGUCGCGUGAGGGAAGACGGCCCUACGGGUUGUAAACCUCUUUUGCCGGGGAGCAACGGGCGCCACGUGUGGCGCCACUGAGAGUACCCGGAGAAAAAGCAUCGGCUAACUCCGUGCCAGCAGCCGCGGUAAUACGGAGGAUGCGAGCGUUAUCCGGAUUUAUUGGGUUUAAAGGGUGCGUAGGCGGACUGGAAAGUCAGCGGUAAAAUCGAGAGGCUCAACCUCUUUCCGCCGUUGAAACUGUCGGUCUUGAGUGGGCGAGAAGUAUGCGGAAUGCGUGGUGUAGCGGUGAAAUGCAUAGAUAUCACGCAGAACUCCGAUUGCGAAGGCAGCAUACCGGCGCCCGACUGACGCUGAGGCACGAAAGCGUGGGUAUCGAACAGGAUUAGAUACCCUAGUA
This 465-nucleotide ribosomal RNA is filed under the name uncultured bacterium. RNAcentral describes it as "bacterial SSU rRNA". It matches the Rfam family "Bacterial small subunit ribosomal RNA", at positions 330 to 792 of the family's 1533-position model. The record is from RNAcentral.